Molecule: ribosomal RNA, 253 nt
Filed under: uncultured bacterium
Lineage: Bacteria
Description: partial 16S ribosomal RNA
Rfam family: Bacterial small subunit ribosomal RNA
Source: RNAcentral
UACGUAGGGGGCAAGCGUUGUCCGGAAUCAUUGGGCGUAAAGCGCGUGUAGGCGGCCCGGUAAGUCCGCUGUGAAAGUCGGGGGCUCAACCCUCGGAUGCCGGUGGAUACUGUCGGGCUAGAGUGCGGGAGAGGCGAGUGGAAUUCCUGGUGUAGCGGUGAAAUGCGUAGAUAUCUGGAGGAACACCGGUGGCGAAGGCGGCAUCCUGGACCGGCAUUGACGCUGAGGCGCGAAAGCCAGGGGAGCAAACGGG